GCACUUCCAAAAAGCGGCAAAAAAGCCUAUAUACAUUGUGUCGGGCAACCGACUAUGGCGAUAAACGGUGCGCGAAAUAGGCGUUACGGACCCGGGGGCAGUACCCGGCGCCUCCACCAUAACCGCAUGACCCGGCGGCGCGCCGGGAGGCUCGAUUGGCGGUGCGGUUUUGCUGGGGGCGACACAGGAUCGACGUGCGUAUUAAAGGUGUACUUUUCGCCCGGCAUGAUACCACCGUUAUCGGGUCACAUUCACAAAUGCCAACGACAACGAGGCAUUUGCAGUUGCCGCUUAGGUAACUGCGGGGUUCGGGGGGCACCUGGCAACAGAAGCCCCCCACU
This 341-nucleotide transfer-messenger RNA is filed under the name Alphaproteobacteria bacterium. It matches the Rfam family "Alphaproteobacteria transfer-messenger RNA". Rfam says of the family: Bacterial tmRNA, also known as 10Sa RNA or SsrA, is named for its dual tRNA and mRNA-like properties. Its role is to liberate the mRNA from a stalled ribosome. To accomplish this part of the tmRNA is used as a reading frame that ends in a translation stop signal. Lineage: Bacteria; Pseudomonadati; Pseudomonadota; Alphaproteobacteria. The record is from RNAcentral.